Molecule: ribosomal RNA, 497 nt
Filed under: uncultured bacterium
Lineage: Bacteria
Description: partial 16S ribosomal RNA
Rfam family: Bacterial small subunit ribosomal RNA
Source: RNAcentral
GAUGAACGCUGGCGGCGUGCCUAAUACAUGCAAGUCGAGCGAACGGACGAGAAGCUUGCUUUUCUGAUGUUAGCGGCGGACGGGUGAGUAACACGUGGAUCACCUACCUAUAAGACUGGGAUAACUUCGGGAAACCGGAGCUAAUACCGGAUAAUAUUUUGAACCGCAUGGUUCAAAAGUGAAAGACGGUCUUGCUGUCACUUAUAGAUGGAUCCGCGCUGCAUUAGCUAGUUGGUAAGGUAACGGCUUACCAAGGCAACGAUGCAUAGCCGACCUGAGAGGGUGAUCGGCCACACUGGAACUGGAACACGGUCCAGACUCCUACGGGAGGCAGCAGUAGGGAAUCUUCCGCAAUGGGCGAAAGCCUGACGGAGCAACGCCGCGUGAGUGAUGAAGGUCUUCGGAUCGUAAAACUCUGUUAUUAGGGAAGAACAUAUGUGUAAGUAACUGUGCACAUCUUGACGGUACCUAAUCAGAAAGCCACGGCUAACUACGUG